Molecule: ribosomal RNA, 464 nt
Filed under: uncultured bacterium
Lineage: Bacteria
Description: partial 16S ribosomal RNA
Rfam family: Bacterial small subunit ribosomal RNA
Source: RNAcentral
ACGAACGCUGGCGGCGUGCUUAACACAUGCAAGUCGAACGGAAAGGCCCCUUCGGGGGUACUCGAGUGGCGAACAGGUGAGUAACACGUGAGUAACCUGCCCUUGACUUCGGGAUAACUUCAGGAAACUGGGGCUAAUACCGGAUAGGAAUCCUUGCUGCAUGGUGGGGGUUGGAAAGCUUCGGCGGUUUUGGAUGGACUCGCGGCUUAUCAGCUUGUUGGUGGGGUAGUGGCUUACCAAGGCUUUGACGGGUAGCCGGCCUGGGAGGGCGACCGGCCACAUUGGGACUGAGAUACGGCCCAGACUCCUACGGGAGGCAGCAGUGGGGAAUAUUGCACAAUGGGCGGAAGCCUGAUGCAGCAACGCCGCGUGCGGGAUGACGGCCUUCGGGUUGUAAACCGCUUUCAGCAGGGGCGAAGCUUGUGGUGACGGUACCUGCAGAAGAAGCACCGGCUAACUACGUG